GCCCAUUGUCUAUGGAUAGCUCAGUCGGUAAAGCAUGAGACUCAAACUCAGGGUCAUGGGUUUGAGCUCCACGAUGGGCG
Non-coding RNA from Podarcis lilfordi (Lilford's wall lizard), 80 nucleotides. Lineage: Eukaryota; Metazoa; Chordata; Lepidosauria; Squamata; Lacertidae. The record is from the annotation of a GenBank genome assembly.